Molecule: non-coding RNA, 239 nt
Organism: Pelobates cultripes (western spadefoot toad)
Lineage: Eukaryota; Metazoa; Chordata; Amphibia; Anura; Pelobatidae
Source: the annotation of a GenBank genome assembly
GGAUAUUUUAACUGCUGAACCAGUGAUUUGGAUGAAAUAUUCUCCUGCUUGACGUUUCAGCCGGCUUGUACAUGGGAUCUUUUAAAACAAAGUCAAAUAUAAGGCUUAAUUUUCAGUUUUUUCACAUUGAAAUGUGCAAGAUUGGUUAUGUUGCCUUUGAGGGCGUAUGGUAGCCCAGAAUUACCCCCAUGAUGGCAUACCAUUUGCAAAAGAAGACAACCCAAGGUAUUGCAAAUGGG